CCACUGCAUGGGGCGUAGGAUUUUUUUCUUGGCCUAUACAACCCAUUAACAGUCGCGUAAGGAGCGCCCUCUCGCGAUGGCCACGUAGACACUGGACCCCGCGAGGACCGACCCAUCUCUCUCGUCCUCACCCCGCACCCCGUUCCCUAAAUUCUUCUCCUCUCCCUCGUUUGCCGCCGCCACCCCCACAGCCGUCACCGCCGCCGCCACCAGCGACUUCAAUCACAGCCUGCGCCCCACCCCUUCUCUCCUCUCGACCACCAGGCGACCUCCUUGCCUCCCCUUCCGCCCAGAUCGAGAAGCAGAUCGGGAUCCACGGCCACGGCGGCAUGAGCGCCCCGAUUUAGGUUUAAGCCGCGUGACGAGGGUGCUCUCUGCAGCGCUAACCCAAGUGCCGACGUCACGGACAAGGUUCGUGAAGCAUCUUUGCCCGUGGAAACCGAGACCGUCUGGUUUUCUUCAUCUCCCUAUGUGAUGGGUGCCAUCAGCUUUUGUGCAUGUUUCAUGGAGAGGAGAAGCCGCUCCAAUUCCAUCUCCUGAAGGAGGAUGCCCACCAUCCAAGGUGCUCAACAUCACAUCCAUCUAUUGCCUGCCAAGAGCGAAGAUGUCUAUCUGAUAGGCAAAGCAGACAUAUCAAAGCUUCUUGUACGUAUUCGGGAGGAUGCCUGUUGUGACGAUGAUCAGACUGGUAGCGCACGUUUACGGACACCAGUGGGCAGAACAGCAGAAGUCACAACAUUGGACGCAAACGCAAUCGGCAACGGCGACCAGACAUGCAGUGACCCGACGAUUGGCGACGUCUGCAGUACUGGGCGAGUGACGAAUGACUGACAGUGACGAUUCAAUUGAUCUGGUGGAUUCAGGGAUAGUUGGCUAUCGGCGUCCAUGACACCCGCGGCACGUCCCCCGCCAUCGACCAAAUCGACAACUACGACGGCUUCAUGAUCUUGCUCACAUGAUGUGUGGAUGCGCCCCUAGAACUUGGUGGCAUCGUGACGUCCUCCAUAGUCCACUCCACACCACAGGCACCCGUCUGCCCGUUGGCCUGAAAUCCCACUUCUGAUCUUCUCUGAAACCAAAGGACGGACUGUUGAAGAAGCCCAAAGGCAGCACUGCCGGACCUAGGGGAAGGCGUUGCGGCUGGGUCGUCUAACAUGGAGUGGGGCAACGUUCUUGUAGCUGCCACCUCAUCUUCUAUGGAGCCUGCAUGAUUUUAAUUGGAGGGAAGAUGGGUGUUUUCAUCUGUGGCGUAGUAUAUACCUGGCGUUCAUCUUCAGGGCAUAGCGUGGCUGGUUCUGGUGCCAGCGAGUUGACGCUCAAACGCCGUCCAGUUAUUAGAUAACGAGGAGUUACGGCCGGGGAUCGCGGCACGUCCUCGCCUGUCUCGCUCAAGGACUGCAGAGAUGGAGAGUCUAUGUCAGGCUCCUCCUCCUUGUAUGGUAGGUGGUGCGGUGGUGGUCGCACAGCUAAGAUAUCCAUGGAGGGCAAGAUCUCCGUUGGGUGAACGCUUGAGCAUGUAUUGGAGGGAGAUGGGACUCCACCGUUCAUCCAUUUUACAGCGGAUGGAUAUUUAUUUAUGAGUAUGACCCAUGUACAGCUCAGUUACAGAAGAUGAAGAUGAAGGGAUGCGUAUGGAGGAGAAAUUAAAUCACAGUAUCACAUUCACGGCAGGAAAACAGAAUGCAGGACCGUGAUAGCUUAUAUGGCAAUGAUGCUGAUGCAGGACCAUGAAAGCUGAUGCGGCAUGAUGGUGAUGUGGAUAAUGUGCAUGUUAAGAAAAUUGUUAGUAGUGGGGAUCAACUUCUUAAGAUUGUAGGAUGAUGGAAUCGGGAAGUACUUGUGCAUUAAAUGAAGUGCUAAUCAUUUUUAGUUAGAUGGCUAUUGUGUUCUUUGUUUACCCAUUGUUGAUUAUACUUACAGGGCCUAGAUCAAUGUAAAGCUGUGGGAUGCGCAGCAGAAGGAUUUGAAUGCUGGAAAUAAGAGGGUGAGAUGGAUAGAUAGAGAACCUUAUGCUUACUGGAAAGGGAAUCCAGAGAUCGCAACUAUAAGGCAAGAGCUUAUCAAGUGUGAUGUUUCCAGUAAACAAGAAUGAAAUACACGGAUCUACAAACAGGAUUGGAUCAAAGAGAGCAAGGCAGGAUACAAGAAAUCAUAUUUGGCCAGUCUAUGCACCCAUAGGUACAAGAUCUACAUUGAAGGAUCAACAUGGCCAGUUAGUGAGAAGUAUAUCAUAGCUUGUGAUUAAACCAAAAUACUGCGAUUUCUUUUCAAGGGUGUUGAUGCCCACUCAGCAUUAUUGGCCAGUUCGAGAUGAUAGGUUAUAGCAUGUUCAGUUCAUCAUUGAGAUAUCUCCUCUGGUUACCUUUUUUCAUUGUGCUAUGUGCAUCUAGCUGGUGGCCACCAGCUAAAAAGGCACUCUUGGUUCUGUAUAUAAUAUCACCGUUCACUGAUACUACUAAUACUGGAGGCACAUGAGUUUGGAACACUCCUGUAGAAUGCCAUCACGGCCGCUUGCCUAUCGGGAGUUUCGUGCGUCGUAGGCAAUCUUCCUGUCCUUGUUCCCCACUGUCUCUAACGGAAUUCUCCCUCUAGAUCUCAAUUCUUUGAGCACAUGGAGAUGUCUUGAUUAUCAAUGCUUUAGUCUAUGCCACUGUUGUUUUUAACAUACUGACUGGCCGUAUCCUACUAUGACUUCAGUUGACACAUUGUGACCAUCCUCCAUAAGUAUUUUGUAGACCCAGGCUUAAAUAUAAAAUGUCCUACUCUAUAACAAUGUUGCUCGUCUACUCUAGGAUCACGCUAAUUGCUAAGUAGUUGAUGAAUAGAUAAAUUAUAUAUCUAAUAUGUCAUCUGCUGCUUGAUAUUUGUUGUUGAACUAAUUAGUACUGAUGUGCCUUCAAGUUCUGAUGCAAUUUAGAACAUCUCUCAUUAAGCAAAAGUCUUGUUGACGCUAAUUUUUUUUGUAGCUCUGAAUUUAGUAAUCAUUUGCCCUCAGCAGCGUGUUGAUGAUUUGGCAAGAUGUCUAGCUAUCUAACAUAUAGUAUUACUUUUCCUCUUUACAAACUCAAAGUUGUUGGUCUUGUUGUCUUACUGACUAGAAGCAAUAAUACACAUUUGCCUGGUGAUGUGACUUGGUAUUCUGAUAGACGGGGUCGCGUGUAAUAGAAUUGAUGCAUAUAGUUUGAAUGCACUGACCUAUUCUGCUGCUUUCCCAUUUUUUGUGCGUAUGAUAUUGUAGCACUAGCAUGUUUCAUUUGGAUCAGUGAGAUACACAUUCUCUCUUUCCAUCUUUAAUAUGUAAUUCGGUGUGUUACUUUGCCUUUUCUAUUGCCAAUACAAAAGUAUUAGAACUUAAUUUAUUUGCCUUACAUAAGAUGGCAUUGUCUUUUUGAGUGCUGGGAUUCAAAUAUGGUUACUCCCUCCUUCCAUCUAUAUAGGGCCUAAUGUGUUUUUGAGGGUAACUUUGACCAAAUGUUAGAGCAAUAAUAUAUGACAUGCAAGUUACAUAAAGCAUAUCGUCAAAUUCGUACGGGAAAGGAGCUUUCAAUGAUAUAAUUUUCAUGUUAUACAUCUCAUGAAUUAUUAGUUCUAUCAAUAGUCAAAGGCGGUCUUGAAAAACGCAUUAGGCCCUAUAUAGAUGGACAGAGGGAGUAGUACUGUGUUUUCAUGGUCAUUCAAGUUGGGUGCUGAGUGGACACUAUGGUAAGCUUAAUUAAAUAACUAUGAGUACUAUGUAAAUUGUAGUUCAACAAUUACUUAGUCACUACUAUGUAAAUUGUGGUUCAACGGAUACUCCAUUUGUAAAUGCGUCAAAACUUCCCUUCGAAAUUCGUAUCCUCAAGUUUCAAAGCAUUUGAUUUGUGAAGCAUAGGUCGAUUGCCAUAUGACUGAGAAAAACAUGAUCCAUUUUUGUACAAAGCUAUAUGCAUAGUAGUCAUAUGAGACGAUAAUAAAUACGGCAGUACGAUUAGUGCGCACAGUCUCGCCUCAAGAGACGCGCCUGGGGCGCGUCCCAACCACUAGUAUUUUUCAAAAAUUGUUUGGCCUGGGGCACAUCCCACUUCCAAGCCUAGGAAGCCCAGGCCAGCUAUCCCAGCUGCCCGACGCCUUGUUGCGUGCUUCCUGCCUGCACAAACAGAAGCACGGGCGAACCAACCAGCCGCCUCUGCUUUCCCCGAUUUGGACGAACCCUAGGCCACCAGAAACAGCCGUCCCUGGCUCCAGCGCCGCCUGCCGCCGCCACCUGCCGGCCACCUUGUUCCAGUAUGUUGCCCGCCCCUUCCCUUCGAGUUGCACCACUGCGGGCUGCUGCUCUAUCCCGUCGUCAGGUUGCGUAGCUGCGGGUUGCUGCUCUGUCUGGUGAGGCACGGAGGUGGCGACUCAGGCGAGGCUUGGCGUCCCGCGAGGUGCUCGAUCCUUUCUGUUUGGCGUCCGGUGAGGUGGUUAUUUGCCAGGAGCCGAACCGCAGCACAGAGGAGUGAACCAUCAACUAACUUCACAUGAGAUACAAUUGGAUUUUUGGAAGGCUUGUGCACAAGAGACCACCGAAGUCAUUAUUGAGGAGACUAGAAAUAGGGAAUUUGCUUUACUUGUUGAUGAGUCCAGAGAUGCAUCUAUGAAGGAGCAAAUGGCUAUGUGCUUGAGGUAACUCGACAAAUGAGGGGAGGUGAUUGAAAGAUUCAUGUCAGUUGAGCAUGUUCCCGACAUAAGAUCAAAUUCACUGAAGUGGAAAGGGCAUUCUCAGCAAUGGGCAUUAUCAAGACUGGAUUGAGGAACAAAAUGGGUGAUGAUUGGAUGAGUCAUAGAAUUUUACAUUGAGCGAGAUGUACUUGUGAAUAUUGAAGAAUCAAAGAUCGUUGAGCGAUUUCAAGGUUGUCGCAAUCGUAAAUGCCUUUUGCAUCGUCCUAGAUGUUUAGCUUCUUUAGCUAUUGAAGAUGUAGUCAUGGGAGUCUCAGAUCAACAAAACCUUUGAUUUGGUAUUAAUCUUUUGUAUCAUCUAUAUAUGCUACAUUUUGUCUUUUGAUUUAUCUUGCUUUAGUUGACCCAUCAUGGAACAAAUGAUGUCACUGAAUAUUAUGUUUGGUGUACUAUUAGUUAUGCAACA
Long non-coding RNA from Triticum dicoccoides, 5104 nucleotides. RefSeq lists it as uncharacterized. The transcript is spliced from 12 exons. NCBI's taxonomy places the organism in Eukaryota, Viridiplantae, Streptophyta, Magnoliopsida, Poales, Poaceae. The record is from RefSeq and is a predicted model, not a curated record.